This is a non-coding RNA of Cinara cedri, 223 nucleotides long. Lineage: Eukaryota; Metazoa; Arthropoda; Insecta; Hemiptera; Aphididae. The record is from the annotation of a GenBank genome assembly.
CGUAUAGGUCGUACAUCAUACGGUACGCGUGACUCCGUGUGGAUCGAAAUCCGAUCUGCCGUCAUAAAAUCGUCGUCAUCAAAGACCGUACGGUGUUAUUAAUUUUUUUUCGAAUCGAAUAUUAUCCUACACGCGUAAAUACCUGAUUUCCCCUACGUAUAUACACUUGUUAUACUGUACAGCGGCGGUUUUGAGACGCGGAAAUACACACGGGAAUCGUAUA